Long non-coding RNA from Panicum virgatum (switchgrass), 1473 nucleotides. RefSeq lists it as uncharacterized. The transcript has 2 exons. Lineage: Eukaryota; Viridiplantae; Streptophyta; Magnoliopsida; Poales; Poaceae. The record is from RefSeq and is a predicted model, not a curated record.
AAAGAGCUUGGCAAAUUUACCAACUUGGUAAAAAUCCCCCUCCCGGCGCGCAUAUAUCCGCGCGCGGAUACGACUCCGCAUCGCGAAAUCCGGCCCCGUCGCGACUUCUCCCGAGCGCGCGAAGACGUCGGCCUCUCUCCCGCGCUCACGAGGAUUUUUCAUCGCCUGUCCUCCCCAUCAGAUCGAUCUCGUCACUCUCCUCGCCAAGUCCGCCAGGUCAGACUCAUUCAAAUGGAAGGAGAUGGAUUCUUGACAGACAUUCUUCUCGAUCAAGAUAAUGGUGGUAUGGAGGACGACCUCAAUAUUCCGAUCACACAAGGCAUUACUUCCGAAGGUCAACAAGCCCAUGUGGAAGUGCAGCCAAGUCGCAACACAAAGGGAUCGAAGAGGACAAAAAAUUUUGAUUGGAAGGAAGACGAAGUUAUAUGCUCUGGCUGGUUGAAUGUUAGCAAAGAUCCCAUUAACGGUGCCAAUCAAUCUCGUUCCAUGUUUUGGAGUAGAGUUCAUGCUUUCUUUGAGGAACACAAGCAAACUGCAGCUGUGAGGACAGAGAGUUCCAUUAUGCAUAGGUGGCUGACAAUUCAGUCACAAGUGAACAAGUAUUGUUGUUGCUAUGAUAAGAUUGAGCGUAGGAAUCAAAGUGGACAAACUAUCCAUGACAAGGUAUACAAUAUGUGUUGAAUAUUUACUUUAAUCAAUUUCGUAUAUUUGAACUGCACAUUUAUAUAUUGUCAAAUUCUCUCAACAGAUUUCAGAAGCAUCCAAGUUGUACCAGGAAUUAGACAAUGACAAUAAGUCAUUUACUCUUAUACAUUGUUGGAAUAUAUUGAAGGAGGAGGACAAGUGGAAAACCAAGAGGAUUGAACUUGCCGAGAUGGAAAAACUAUCAAACAAGAAAAAACAGAAGUCCAGACCAAGGGAUACAGAAGGCACCAACAAUGAUGAAGAUGCAGCAAAGGAAGUUGCUCCAGAAACCGAAGCAAGCAAAAGGCCACCGGGGGUAAAGAAGGCAAAAGAAGCACUUAGGCAAAGCGGUGGUGGCGACGCUUGCAUGGAAGCUUUGGACAAGAUGUGGUCCAAGAAGGAGGCUUUCGACAAAGAAAAGUAAAAGGCAAAAGAGGAGAGGUUCCUGGUUGCACUAGAGAUAGAGAAGAGGCGAGUGUCAAUUGAUGAAAAAAAAGCUGAAGCAGAAUUGAUUAAAGAGGAGAAAGAAAUAAUGUCAAUCGACAUGACUUCCCUCACCCCGCUACAGCGUCAAUACUACGAGACGAUGCAACAGAAGAUUGUCGCUAGGCAUUUGGCAAAUUAAAUUUAGUUCUAAUCCUGAAAGCUUUAGUUUGUUUUUUUAUUGAGCACAAUUUUUAUUGAAGUUCAUGUAUCCGUUUACUGAACCUUAGUUUCUGUUCGUGAUUGUCAAUGCAAGAAUUGCAUAAUCAUAUAUGUUCUGGUACUGCUGUGAAUGUUUCUGAAUGA